CCUACGGGAGGCAGCAGUAGGGAAUAUUGCUCAAUGGGGGAAACCCUGACGCAGCAACGCCGCGUGGAGGAUGAAGGUUUUCGGAUUGUAAACUCCUUUUGUUAGAGAAGAUAAUGACGGUAUCUAACGAAUAAGCACCGGCUAACUCCGUGCCAGCAGCCGCGGUAAUACGGAGGGUGCAAGCGUUACUCGGAAUCACUGGGCGUAAAGAGCGCGUAGGCGGGAUAGCAAGUCAGAUGUGAAAUCCUAGGGCUUAACCAUAGAACUGCAUUUGAAACUGGUAUUCUAGAGUAUGGGAGAGGUAGGUGGAAUUCUUGGUGUAGGGGUAAAAUCCGUAGAGAUCAAGAGGAAUACUCAUUGCGAAGGCGACCUGCUAGAACAUAACUGACGCUGAUGCGCGAAAGCGUGGGGAGCAAACAGGAUUAGAUACCCGAGUAGUC
This 440-nucleotide ribosomal RNA is filed under the name uncultured bacterium. RNAcentral describes it as "partial 16S ribosomal RNA". It matches the Rfam family "Bacterial small subunit ribosomal RNA", at positions 338 to 795 of the family's 1533-position model. The record is from RNAcentral.